ACAAAAUUUCAUCCGUUAGCACGGGUGAAUAUCUAGUAUAUUACGCUGGGGACCAGGGGGCUUCUCGGCUCAAGAAGUGUCAAGCUCUCAGCUCUUCAAGGAGGGUUUUUUUUUUCCCCCUUUCUCUCGCAAUUUUUUUUUCCUCUCUUAGAACCUUCCCGAGCCUUCAGGUGCUCUCCCAGUUCCACGAUGUCUUGGUCGACUAGGAGGCUUGGAGCGCCCUAAUGGGAAUGAACCCCAUCCGAAACCGGAGAAACCCCUCUGAUCUCCGUCGGUGCUCUCCUUCCGAUUGAUCUCCAAAAAAGUAUCGUCCUUCCCACAGAUGUCCAAAAAAGAGAAAGAAAUAAAAAGAAAAAUAAGAAAAAGGCAAAAAAAAA
Non-coding RNA from Elaeis guineensis (African oil palm), 377 nucleotides. The record is from RefSeq and is a predicted model, not a curated record. Lineage: Eukaryota; Viridiplantae; Streptophyta; Magnoliopsida; Arecales; Arecaceae.